GCGAGCCUGACGGAGCACGCCGCGUGAGGGAUGGAGGCCUUUGGGCUGUAAACCUCUUUUCUCAAGGAAGAAGACCUGACGGUACUUGAGGAAUAAGCCACGGCUAAUUCCGUGCCAGCAGCCGCGGUAAUACGGGAGUGGCAAGCGUUAUCCGGAAUUAUUGGGCGUAAAGCGUCCGCAGGCGGCCGUUUAAGUCUGUUGUUAAAUCGUGGAGCUCAACUCCAUCACGGCAAUGGAAACUGUUCGGCUUGAGUAUGGUAGGGGCAGAGGGAAUUUCCGGUGUAGCGGUGAAAUGCGUAGAUAUCGGGAAGAACACCAGUGGCGAAAGCGCUCUGCUGGACCAUUACUGACGCUCAUGGACGAAAGCCAGGGGAGCGAAAGGGAUUAGAUACCCCUGUAGUCCUGGCCGUAAACGAUGAACACUAGAUGUUGGGGGAAUCGACCCCCUCGGUGUCGUAGCUAACGCGUUAAGUGUUCCGCCUGGGGAGUACGCACGCAAGUGUGAAACUCAAAGGAAUUGACGG
RNAcentral lists this ribosomal RNA (524 nucleotides) under uncultured cyanobacterium. RNAcentral describes it as "bacterial SSU rRNA". It matches the Rfam family "Bacterial small subunit ribosomal RNA", at positions 377 to 916 of the family's 1533-position model. Lineage: Bacteria; Bacillati; Cyanobacteriota. The record is from RNAcentral.